AGAGUUUGAUCCUGGCUCAGGACGAACGCUGGCGGCGUGCCUAAUACAUGCGAGUCGGACGAACCAGGAAAGGAACUUGUUCCUUUCCUUGGUUAGUGGCAGACGGGUGAGUAACACGUGGAGAACCUACCUUUCAGCGGGGGAUAACCAUUGGAAACGAUGACAAAUACCGCAUAGGACUUUGAGUCACCUGACUUAAAGAGGAAAGACGGCUUCGGCUGUCACUGAAAGAUGGCUCCGCGGUGCAUUAGCUAGAUGGUAAGGUAACGGCUUACCAUGGCCAUGAUGCAUAGCCGACCUGAGAGGGUGAUCGGCCACAUUGGGACUGAGACACGGCCCAAACUCCUACGGGAGGCAGCAGUAGGGAAUCUUCCGCAAUGGACGCAAGUCUGACGGAGCAACGCCGCGUGUGUGAAGAAGGUCUUCGGAUCGUAAAGCACUGUUGUUAGAGAAGAACACCCGGUAGAGUAACUGUUACCGGCAUGACGGUAUCUAACCAGAAAGCCACGGCUAACUACGUGCCAGCAGCCGCGGUAAUACGUAGGUGGCAAGCGUUGUCCGGAUUUAUUGGGCGUAAAGGGAGCGCAGGUGGUGACUUAAGUCUGAUGUGAAAGCCCACGGCUCAACCGUGGAGGGUCAUUGGAAACUGGGUCACUUGAGUACAGAAGAGGAAAGUGGAAUUCCAUGUGUAGCGGUGAAAUGCGUAGAUAUAUGGAGGAACACCAGUGGCGAAGGCGACUUUCUGGUCUGUGACUGACACUGAGGCUCGAAAGCGUGGGGAGCAAACAGGAUUAGAUACCCUGGUAGUCCACGCCG
Molecule: ribosomal RNA, 816 nt
Filed under: uncultured bacterium
Lineage: Bacteria
Description: bacterial SSU rRNA
Rfam family: Bacterial small subunit ribosomal RNA
Source: RNAcentral